GAUUGAAGAACGUAGCGAAAUGCGAUACGUAAUGUGAAUUGCAGAAUUCAGUGAAUCAUCGAGUCUUUGAACGCACAUUGCGCCCCCUGGUAUUCCGGGGGGCAUGCCUGUCCGAGCGUCAUUGCUGCCCUCAAGCACGGCUUGUGUGUUGGGCCUCCGUCCUCCUCCCGGGGGACGGGCCCGAAAGGCAGCGGCGGCACCGCGUCCGGUCCUCGAGCGUAUGGGGCUUCGUCACCCGCUCUUGUAGGCCCGGCCGGUGCUUGCCGACACAUCAAUCUUUUUUCCAGGUUGACCUCGGAUCAGGUAGGGAUACCCGCUGAACUUAAGCAUAUCAAUAAGCGGAGGA
RNAcentral lists this unclassified non-coding RNA (346 nucleotides) under soil metagenome. RNAcentral's name for it is "partial contains 5.8S ribosomal RNA, internal transcribed spacer 2, and large subunit ribosomal RNA". The stretch from base 4 to 121 matches the Rfam family "5.8S ribosomal RNA", at positions 37 to 154 of the family's 154-position model. The record is from RNAcentral.